GGCCAGACUCCUACGGGAGGCAGCAGUAGGGAAUUUUGCGCAAUGGGGGAAACCCUGACGCAGCAACACCGCGUGAAUGUUAAGCCCUUCGGGGUGUAAAGUUCUGUCAAUAGGGACGAAUUUUGACUGUACCUAUAAAGGAAGCACCGGCUAACUCCGUGCCAGCAGCCGCGGUAAUACGUAGGGGGCAAGCGUUAUCCGGAUUUACUGGGUGUAAAGGGAGCGUAGACGGCAUAGCAAGUCUGAAGUGAAAGCCCGUGGCUCAACCGCGGAACUGCUUUGGAAACUGUUAAGCUGGAGUACUGGAGAGGCAAGCGGAAUUCCUAGUGUAGCGGUGAAAUGCGUAGAUAUUAGGAGGAACACCAGUGGCGAAGGCGGCUUGCUGGACAGAGACUGACGUUGAGGCUCGAAAGCGUGGGGAGCAAACAGGAUUAGAUACCCCUGUAAG
Molecule: ribosomal RNA, 448 nt
Filed under: uncultured bacterium
Lineage: Bacteria
Description: partial 16S ribosomal RNA
Rfam family: Bacterial small subunit ribosomal RNA
Source: RNAcentral